GGGUUGUGAGGUUAAGCGACUAAGCGUACACGGUGGAUGCCCUGGCAGUCAGAGGCGAUGAAGGACGUGCUAAUCUGCGAUAAGCGUCGGUAAGGUGAUAUGAACCGUUAUAACCGGCGAUUUCCGAAUGGGGAAACCCAGUGUGUUUCGACACACUAUCAUUAACUGAAUCCAUAGGUUAAUGAGGCGAACCGGGGGAACUGAAACAUCUAAGUACCCCGAGGAAAAGAAAUCAACCGAGAUUCCCCCAGUAGCGGCGAGCGAACGGGGAGCAGCCCAGAGCCUGAAUCAGUGUGUGUGUUAGUGGAAGCGUCUGGAAAGGCGCGCGAUACAGGGUGACAGCCCCGUACACAAAAAUGCACAUGCUGUGAGCUCGAUGAGUAGGGCGGGACACGUGGUAUCCUGUCUGAAUAUGGGGGGACCAUCCUCCAAGGCUAAAUACUCCUGACUGACCGAUAGUGAACCAGUACCGUGAGGGAAAGGCGAAAAGAACCCCGGCGAGGGGAGUGAAAAAGAACCUGAAACCGUGUACGUACAAGCAGUGGGAGCACGCUUAGGCGUGUGACUGCGUACCUUUUGUAUAAUGGGUCAGCGACUUAUAUUCUGUAGCAAGGUUAACCGAAUAGGGGAGCCGAAGGGAAACCGAGUCUUAACUGGGCGUUAAGUUGCAGGGUAUAGACCCGAAACCCGGUGAUCUAGCCAUGGGCAGGUUGAAGGUUGGGUAACACUAACUGGAGGACCGAACCGACUAAUGUUGAAAAAUUAGCGGAUGACUUGUGGCUGGGGGUGAAAGGCCAAUCAAACCGGGAGAUAGCUGGUUCUCCCCGAAAGCUAUUUAGGUAGCGCCUCGUGAAUUCAUCUCCGGGGGUAGAGCACUGUUUCGGCAAGGGGGUCAUCCCGACUUACCAACCCGAUGCAAACUGCGAAUACCGGAGAAUGUUAUCACGGGAGACACACGGCGGGUGCUAACGUCCGUCGUGAAGAGGGAAACAACCCAGACCGCCAGCUAAGGUCCCAAAGUCAUGGUUAAGUGGGAAACGAUGUGGGAAGGCCCAGACAGCCAGGAUGUUGGCUUAGAAGCAGCCAUCAUUUAAAGAAAGCGUAAUAGCUCACUGGUCGAGUCGGCCUGCGCGGAAGAUGUAACGGGGCUAAACCAUGCACCGAAGCUGCGGCAGCGACGCUUAUGCGUUGUUGGGUAGGGGAGCGUUCUGUAAGCCUGUGAAGGUGUGCUGUGAGGCAUGCUGGAGGUAUCAGAAGUGCGAAUGCUGACAUAAGUAACGAUAAAGCGGGUGAAAAGCCCGCUCGCCGGAAGACCAAGGGUUCCUGUCCAACGUUAAUCGGGGCAGGGUGAGUCGACCCCUAAGGCGAGGCCGAAAGGCGUAGUCGAUGGGAAACAGGUUAAUAUUCCUGUACUUGGUGUUACUGCGAAGGGGGGACGGAGAAGGCUAUGUUGGCCGGGCGACGGUUGUCCCGGUUUAAGCGUGUAGGCUGGUUUUCCAGGCAAAUCCGGAAAAUCAAGGCUGAGGCGUGAUGACGAGGCACUACGGUGCUGAAGCAACAAAUGCCCUGCUUCCAGGAAAAGCCUCUAAGCAUCAGGUAACAUCAAAUCGUACCCCAAACCGACACAGGUGGUCAGGUAGAGAAUACCAAGGCGCUUGAGAGAACUCGGGUGAAGGAACUAGGCAAAAUGGUGCCGUAACUUCGGGAGAAGGCACGCUGAUAUGUAGGUGAAGUCCCUCGCGGAUGGAGCUGAAAUCAGUCGAAGAUACCAGCUGGCUGCAACUGUUUAUUAAAAACACAGCACUGUGCAAACACGAAAGUGGACGUAUACGGUGUGACGCCUGCCCGGUGCCGGAAGGUUAAUUGAUGGGGUCAGCGCAAGCGAAGCUCUUGAUCGAAGCCCCGGUAAACGGCGGCCGUAACUAUAACGGUCCUAAGGUAGCGAAAUUCCUUGUCGGGUAAGUUCCGACCUGCACGAAUGGCGUAAUGAUGGCCAGGCUGUCUCCACCCGAGACUCAGUGAAAUUGAACUCGCUGUGAAGAUGCAGUGUACCCGCGGCAAGACGGAAAGACCCCGUGAACCUUUACUAUAGCUUGACACUGAACAUUGAGCCUUGAUGUGUAGGAUAGGUGGGAGGCUUUGAAGUGUGGACGCCAGUCUGCAUGGAGCCGACCUUGAAAUACCACCCUUUAAUGUUUGAUGUUCUAACGUUGACCCGUGAUCCGGGUUGCGGACAGUGUCUGGUGGGUAGUUUGACUGGGGCGGUCUCCUCCUAAAGAGUAACGGAGGAGCACGAAGGUUGGCUAAUCCUGGUCGGACAUCAGGAGGUUAGUGCAAUGGCAUAAGCCAGCUUGACUGCGAGCGUGACGGCGCGAGCAGGUGCGAAAGCAGGUCAUAGUGAUCCGGUGGUUCUGAAUGGAAGGGCCAUCGCUCAACGGAUAAAAGGUACUCCGGGGAUAACAGGCUGAUACCGCCCAAGAGUUCAUAUCGACGGCGGUGUUUGGCACCUCGAUGUCGGCUCAUCACAUCCUGGGGCUGAAGUAGGUCCCAAGGGUAUGGCUGUUCGCCAUUUAAAGUGGUACGCGAGCUGGGUUUAGAACGUCGUGAGACAGUUCGGUCCCUAUCUGCCGUGGGCGCUGGAGAACUGAGGGGGGCUGCUCCUAGUACGAGAGGACCGGAGUGGACGCAUCACUGGUGUUCGGGUUGUCAUGCCAAUGGCACUGCCCGGUAGCUAAAUGCGGAAGAGAUAAGUGCUGAAAGCAUCUAAGCACGAAACUUGCCCCGAGAUGAGUUCUCCCUGACCCUUUAAGGGUCCUGAAGGAACGUUGAAGACGACGACGUUGAUAGGCCGGGUGUGUAAGCGCAGCGAUGCGUUGAGCUAACCGGUACUAAUGAACCGUGAGGCUUAACCUUACAACGCCGAAGCUGUU
Molecule: ribosomal RNA, 2930 nt
Filed under: Escherichia coli
Lineage: Bacteria; Pseudomonadati; Pseudomonadota; Gammaproteobacteria; Enterobacterales; Enterobacteriaceae
Description: bacterial LSU rRNA
Rfam family: Bacterial large subunit ribosomal RNA
Source: RNAcentral